Rhagoletis pomonella (apple maggot) is the source of this 355-nucleotide long non-coding RNA. RefSeq lists it as uncharacterized. The record is from RefSeq and is a predicted model, not a curated record. The transcript has 4 exons. Lineage: Eukaryota; Metazoa; Arthropoda; Insecta; Diptera; Tephritidae.
CCACUUUUUGGCUUUCGACUUCAGCGCUACUCCACUUGUUAAUUUUUCCUGCCCCAGAGGAGCGACAUCAUCAAUUAGCUUUUGUGGACACGGUGUUCCAUUCACACACACGUUUCUUUGUGCUGCAUUUUUCUUGCUUCAUAGGAGCGGAUUUCCGACUAACGCAUCUGGGGACACAGUUCCGACUAACACACACACACGUUUCUUUGUGCUGCAUUUUUCCUGCUUCAUUGGGACACAGUUCCGAUUAACACACACACACGUUUCUUUGUGCUGCAUUUUUCCUGCUUCAUAGGAGCGGAUUUCCGACUAACAUACACACACGUAUAAUCGCAGCUUCUCCGUUUGAAGUGUU